GGGAGUGGCAAGCGUUAUCCGGAAUUAUUGGGCGUAAAGCGUCCGCAGGCGGCUUUUCAAGUCUGCUGUUAAAACGUGGGGCUUAACUCCAUCAUGGCAGUGGAAACUGAAAGGCUUGAGUAUGGUAGGGGCAGAGGGAAUUCCCGGUGUAGCGGUGAAAUGCGUAGAUAUCGGGAAGAACACCAGUGGCGAAGGCGCUCUGCUGGGCCAUUACUGACGCUCAUGGACGAAAGCCAGGGGAGCGAAAGGGAUUAGAUACCCCUGUAGUCCUGGCCGUAAACGAUGAACACUAGGUGUCGGGGGAAUCGACCCCUUCGGUGUCGUAGCUAACGCGUUAAGUGUUCCGCCUGGGGAGUACGCACGCAAGUGUGAAACUCAAAGGAAUUGACGGGGGCCCGCACAAGCGGUGGAGUAUGUGGUUUAAUUCGAUGCAACGCGAAGAACCUUACCAGGGUUUGACAUCCUGCGAACCUCUUAGAAAUUUGAGGGUGCCUUCGGGAAUGCAGUGACAGGUGGUGCAUGGCUGUCGUCAGCUCGUGUCGUGAGAUGUUGGGUUAAGUCCCGCAACGAGCGCAACCCACGUUUUAAGUUGCCAGCAUUUAGUUGGGCACUUUAGAAAGACCGCCGGUGAUAAACCGGAGGAAGGUGUGGAUGACGUCAAGUCAUCAUGCCCCUUACACCCUGGGCUACACACGUGCUACAAUGCUUCGGACAAAGGGCAGCAAACUCGCGAGAGCUAGCAAAUCCCAUAAACCGUGGCUCAGUUCAGAUCGUAGGCUGCAACUCGCCUACGUGAAGUAGGAAUCGCUAGUAAUCGCAGGUCAGCAUACUGCGGUGAAUACGUUCCCGGGCCUU
Molecule: ribosomal RNA, 855 nt
Filed under: uncultured cyanobacterium
Lineage: Bacteria; Bacillati; Cyanobacteriota
Description: bacterial SSU rRNA
Rfam family: Bacterial small subunit ribosomal RNA
Source: RNAcentral